GACGAACGCUGGCGGCGUGCUUAACACAUGCAAGUCGAACGGAAAGGCCCUGCUUUUGUGGGGUGCUCGAGUGGCGAACGGGUGAGUAACACGUGAGUAACCUGCCCUUGACUUUGGGAUAACUUCAGGAAACUGGGGCUAAUACCGGAUAGGAGCUCCUGCUGCAUGGUGGGGGAUGGAAAGUUUCGGCGGUUGGGGAUGGACUCGCGGCUUAUCAGCUUGUUGGUGGGGUAGUGGCUUACCAAGGCUUUGACGGGUAGCCGGCCUGAGAGGGUGACCGGCCACAUUGGGACUGAGAUACGGCCCAGACUCCUACCGUAGGCAGAGGUGGAGAAUGUUACACAAUGGGCGGAAGCGUGAUGCAGCACAGCCGCGUGCGGGAUGACGGGCUUCUGGUUGUAAACCGAUUUCGCCUGUGACGAAGCGUGAGUGACGGUAAUGUAUAAAGAAGCACCGGCUAACUACGUG
RNAcentral lists this ribosomal RNA (468 nucleotides) under uncultured bacterium. Its description in RNAcentral is "partial 16S ribosomal RNA". It matches the Rfam family "Bacterial small subunit ribosomal RNA", at positions 28 to 507 of the family's 1533-position model. The record is from RNAcentral.